This 340-nucleotide ribosomal RNA is filed under the name uncultured bacterium. Its description in RNAcentral is "bacterial SSU rRNA". It matches the Rfam family "Bacterial small subunit ribosomal RNA", at positions 335 to 665 of the family's 1533-position model. The record is from RNAcentral.
ACUCCUACGGGAGGCAGCAGUGGGGAAUAUUGCACAAUGGGGGAAACCCUGAUGCAGCCAUGCCGCGUGUGUGAAGAAGGCCUUCGGGUUGUAAAGCACUUUCAGUAGGGAGGAAGGUAGUGUAGUUAACACCUGCACUAUUUGUACGUUACCUACAGAAGAAGCACCGGCUAACUCCGUGCCAGCAGCCGCGGUAAGUACGGAGGGUGCGAGCGUUAAUCGGAAUUACUGGGCGUAAAGCGCAUGCAGGCGGCCUGUUAAGUCAGAUGUGAAAGCCCGGGGCUUAACCUCGGAAUUGCAUUUGAAACUGGCAGGCUAGAGUCUUGUAGAGGGGUUAGAA